RNAcentral lists this ribosomal RNA (331 nucleotides) under uncultured bacterium. RNAcentral describes it as "bacterial SSU rRNA". It matches the Rfam family "Bacterial small subunit ribosomal RNA", at positions 568 to 898 of the family's 1533-position model. The record is from RNAcentral.
CGUGUAGGCGGGACUGUAAGUCAGAUGUGAAAUUCCUAGGCUUAACCUGGGCGCUGCAUCUGAAACUAUGGUUCUUGAGUGCUGGAGAGGAAAGCGGAAUUCCUAGUGUAGCGGUGAAAUGCGUAGAUAUUAGGAGGAACACCAGUGGCGAAGGCGGCUUCUGGACAGUAACUGACGCUGAGGCGCGAAAGCGUGGGGAGCAAACAGGAUUAGAUACCCUGGUAGUCCACGCUGUAAACGAUGGAUACUAGGUGUAGGAGGUAUCGACCCCUUCUGUGCCGGAGUUAACACAAUAAGUAUCCCACCUGGGGAGUACGGCCGCAAGGUUGAA